GCGAGCGUAGCUCAAUGGUAGAGCCUCAGUCUUCCAAACUGAUUACGCGGGUUCGAUUCCCGUCGCUCGCU
RNAcentral lists this transfer RNA (71 nucleotides) under Scardovia inopinata F0304. It matches the Rfam family "tRNA". Rfam says of the family: Transfer RNA (tRNA) molecules are approximately 80 nucleotides in length. Their secondary structure includes four short double-helical elements and three loops (D, anti-codon, and T loops). Further hydrogen bonds mediate the characteristic L-shaped molecular structure. tRNAs have two regions of fundamental functional importance: the anti-codon, which is responsible for specific mRNA codon recognition, and the 3' end, to which the tRNAs corresponding amino acid is attached (by aminoacyl-tRNA synthetases). tRNAs cope with the degeneracy of the genetic code in two manners: having more than one tRNA (with a specific anti-codon) for a particular amino acid; and 'wobble' base-pairing, i.e. permitting non-standard base-pairing at the 3rd anti-codon position. Lineage: Bacteria; Bacillati; Actinomycetota; Actinomycetes; Bifidobacteriales; Bifidobacteriaceae. The record is from Rfam by way of RNAcentral.